This 455-nucleotide ribosomal RNA is filed under the name uncultured bacterium. RNAcentral describes it as "bacterial SSU rRNA". It matches the Rfam family "Bacterial small subunit ribosomal RNA", at positions 10 to 507 of the family's 1533-position model. The record is from RNAcentral.
AGUUUGAUCAUGGCUCAGGAUAAACGCUGGCGGCGUGCCUAACACAUGCAAGUCGAACGAUCCCGCAAGGGAGAGUGGCGGAAGGGUGAGUAACACGUGGGAAUCUACCUCCUCGCAGGGAACAACCUCUCGAAAGAGAGGCUAAUACCCAAAAGGGUCAGAAAUGAUCAGAGUCGAAAGGCGUGAGGAGAGGAGCCCGCGGCCCAUCAGCUAGUUGGUGAGGUAAUGGCUUACCAAGGCUACGACGGGUAGGGGAUCUGAGAGGAUGUCCCCCACACUGGAACUGAAACACGGUCCAGACGCCUACGGGUGGCAGCAGUGAGGAAUAUUGGACAAUGGGCGAAAGCCCGAUCCAGCAACGCCGCGUGGAGGAUGAAGGCCUUCGGGUCGUAAACUUCUUUAGAGGGAGACGAGAAAGGACGGUAUCCCUAGAAUAAGCGACGGCAAACUACGUG